Molecule: ribosomal RNA, 412 nt
Filed under: uncultured bacterium
Lineage: Bacteria
Description: bacterial SSU rRNA
Rfam family: Bacterial small subunit ribosomal RNA
Source: RNAcentral
AGUUUGAUCCUGGCUCAGAUUGAACGCUGGCGGAAUGCUUUACACAUGCAAGUCGAACGGCAGCACGGGAGCUUGCUCCUGGUGGCGAGUGGCGAACGGGUGAGUAAUAUAUCGGAACGUAUCCAAUAAUGGGGGAUAACUAGUCGAAAGAUUAGCUAAUACCGCAUACGCCCUGAGGGGGAAAGCUGGGGAUCUUCGGACCUAGCGUUAAUGGAGCGGCCGAUAUCUGAUUAGCUAGUAGGUGAGGUAAAAGCUCACCUAGGCGACGAUCAGUAGCUGGUCUGAGAGGACGACCAGCCACACUGGAACUGAGACACGGUCCAGACUCCUACGGGAGGCAGCAGUGGGGAAUUUUGGACAAUGGGCGCAAGCCUGAUCCAGCCAUUCCGCGUGAGUGAAGAAGGCCUUCGGG